UGCAAGUCGAGCGGUAGCACAAGGGAGCUUGCUCCCUGGGUGACGAGCGGCGGACGGGUGAGUAAUGUCUGGGAAACUGCCUGAUGGAGGGGGAUAACUACUGGAAACGGUAGCUAAUACCGCAUAACGUCGCAAGACCAAAGAGGGGGACCUUCGGGCCUCUUGCCAUCAGAUGUGCCCAGAUGGGAUUAGCUAGUAGGUGGGGUAAUGGCUCACCUAGGCGACGAUCCCUAGCUGGUCUGAGAGGAUGACCAGCCACACUGGAACUGAGACACGGUCCAGACUCCUACGGGAGGCAGCAGUGGGGAAUAUUGCACAAUGGGCGCAAGCCUGAUGCAGCCAUGCCGCGUGUGUGAAGAAGGCCUUCGGGUUGUAAAGCACUUUCAGCGAGGAGGAAGGUGGUGAGCUUAAUACGUUCAUCAAUUGACGUUACUCGCAGAAGAAGCACCGGCUAACUCCGUGCCAGCAGCCGCGGUAAUACGGAGGGUGCAAGCGUUAAUCGGAAUUACUGGGCGUAAAGCGCACGCAGGCGGUUUGUUAAGUCAGAUGUGAAAUCCCCGGGCUCAACCUGGGAACUGCAUUUGAAACUGGCAAGCUAGAGUCUCGUAGAGGGGGGUAGAAUUCCAGGUGUAGCGGUGAAAUGCGUAGAGAUCUGGAGGAAUACCGGUGGCGAGGCGGCCCCCUGGACGAAGACUGACGCUCAAGUGCGAAAGCGUGGGGAGCAAACAGGAUUAGAUACUCUGGUAGUCCACGCUGUAAACGAUGUCGAUUUUGGAGGUUGUGCCCUUGAGGCGUGGCCUUUCGGGAGCUAACGCGUUAAAU
Molecule: ribosomal RNA, 822 nt
Filed under: uncultured bacterium
Lineage: Bacteria
Description: bacterial SSU rRNA
Rfam family: Bacterial small subunit ribosomal RNA
Source: RNAcentral